Molecule: transfer RNA, 71 nt
Filed under: Scaphidium formosanum
Lineage: Eukaryota; Metazoa; Arthropoda; Insecta; Coleoptera; Staphylinidae
Description: tRNA-Lys
Source: RNAcentral
CAUUAGAUGGCUGAAAUGUAAGUCUUGGUCUCUUAAACCAAUCAUAGUAAAUUAACUAAUACUUCUAAUGA